Molecule: long non-coding RNA, 764 nt
Organism: Rattus rattus (black rat)
Lineage: Eukaryota; Metazoa; Chordata; Mammalia; Rodentia; Muridae
Exons: 3
Source: RefSeq, a predicted model, not a curated record
CCCGUUCAGCUUAUAAUGUCUACUUCUGGUCUCUGGCUACAAUCAGGUUUUGGGUUAAAAGGCUACUUAGGCCUUGCCUACCUGCAACAGACUCCACCCUACCCCCAUCUCAGCUGCUGUAAAAGGAAACAACAGCUACCCUAUUGGGACUAACUUUAACUCUAAUCCUCACUUCCUGGAAAGCUUCUCAGGUAACCAGUCCCCUGGAAAGGACAAGCCCAGCGCUGUGACCUUGCAGCCGAAAGGUUUUUCUCCCACACUCAGAGAAACCUGAGUGCACGAAGGUGCUGUGAGCUCCUCAUUCAAUACAUACACGGGCCCUUCCCCACAUUCUGAACGGCAACCAUGGCAACAAGUGUUCAUCUGAGCAGCUGCUCCAGGCAAGUUCUGCUUGAGUACUGACAGUGACAAACACUUCAGAAGGGAGUUUUCUGCACAGAAGUCUAGAAGCCCAGGAGAUCUUGAUGGCCACACACAUGGGCCAACUAGCAGGACCUUUGUGUUUGCCAACCUGCCUGCUCUAACCAUAAGACGACCAUCUAUCACAUCUAUGAAUUCAUGUCUCCUUGGGAAGCCACCAAAAAUGAUGCAUAUUGAUUUGCUCGUAGAUGAAGAUGUGGACACGAGGUGCCAGAGCCAGCUUAUUUCUGCAUUUGCUGCACCGGCUGCUAUUAAAAUCAGUGCUCAUCUUAAUGUCAUUUAAAGAGCAUAGCACAUGGUAGUUUUAUUUCUGAUUCAAAUGUGCAGCAGCCAAGAGAUAGGUU